CCGCUGCCGGAUUUUUGGGCGUAAGCGAGCGCAGGCGGUUCCUUAAGUCUGAUGUGAAAGCCCCCGGCUCAACCGGGGAGGGUCAUUGGAAACUGGGGAACUUGAGUGCAGAAGAGGAAAGUGGAAUUCCAUGUGUAGCGGUGAAAUGCUUAAAUAUAUGGAGGAACACCAUUGGCGAAGGCGACUCUCUGGCCUGUAACUGACGCUAAGGCUCGAAAGCGUGGGUAGCAAACAGGAUUAAAUACCCUGGUAGUCCACGCCGUAAACGAUGAGUGCUAGGUGUUGGAGGGUUUCCGCCCUUCAGUGCUGCAUUUAACACAUUAACCACCCCGCCGGGGGAGUACGACCGCGGGGUUAAAACCAAGGGAAAUGGGGGGG
This 378-nucleotide ribosomal RNA is filed under the name uncultured bacterium. Its description in RNAcentral is "bacterial SSU rRNA". It matches the Rfam family "Bacterial small subunit ribosomal RNA", at positions 539 to 918 of the family's 1533-position model. The record is from RNAcentral.